This 1842-nucleotide ribosomal RNA is filed under the name Triticum aestivum (bread wheat). RNAcentral's name for it is "partial small subunit ribosomal RNA". Lineage: Eukaryota; Viridiplantae; Streptophyta; Magnoliopsida; Poales; Poaceae. The record is from RNAcentral.
AUGAACGAGAAGCGCGGGCUGGAGGCCGCCGCCGCCGGCGACGGCCGCCCUGAGGCCAAGCGGUCGCGGCCCCCGGCUCUUGCCAGUGUUAUUGUUGAAGCACUAAAGGUGGAUAGUCUGCAGAGGCUUUGCUCAUCAUUGGAACCAAUUCUCCGUAGAGUGGUUAGUGAAGAAGUGGAGCGCGCCUUGGGAAAACUUGGUCCUGCUGCAAUCACUGGGAGGUCUUCUCCAAAGCGAAUUGAAGGGCCUGGUGGAAGAAAUCUGCAACUCCAAUUCAGGACAAGAUUGUCCCUUCCCCUUUUUACCGGAGGAAAAGUUGAAGGGGAGCAGGGGGCUGCAAUUCAUGUUGUUUUGCUUGAUACCGGCAAUGGCUGUGUUGUAUCAUCUGGGCUGGAGUCGUCUUCCAAGCUUGAUAUUGUUGUUCUAGAAGGUGAUUUCAACAAUGAGGACGAGGAAGGCUGGACAGAGGAGGAAUUUGACAGUCAUAUAGUGAAGGAGCGUGAGGGAAAACGACCUAUUAUAACUGGCGAUAUACAAGUCACACUGAAAGAAGGUGUUGGCACAAUCGGGGAGUUCACGUUCACAGAUAACUCUAGCUGGAUAAGGAGUAGGAAAUUCAGACUUGGUUUGAAAAUUGCCUCAGGGUUUUGUGAGGGUGUUCGCAUCCGUGAGGCAAAAACUGAAGCUUUUAUGGUUAAGGACCAUAGAGGAGAAUUGUACAAGAAGCAUUAUCCACCUGCAUUGAAGGAUGAGGUCUGGAGGUUAGAGAAAAUAGGAAAAGAUGGGUCAUUCCAUAAGAGGCUGAAUAAAUCUGGAAUUUUAACUGUUGAAGAUUUUCUUAGGCUUGUGGUUCGGGAUCCACAGAAGCUGCGUACUAUCCUCGGAAGUGGCAUGUCCAACAAGAUGUGGGAUUCCCUCGUUGAACAUGCAAAAACCUGUGUCUUGAGUGGAAAAUAUUACAUAUACUAUUCUGAUGAGAACAGAACUGCUGGUGCUAUUUUCAACGACCUCUAUGCAUUCUGUGGGCUGAUUUCUGGCGAGCAAUUCUAUUCGUCUGAGAGUCUUGAUGAUGGCCAAAAGCAUUUUGCUGAUGGGCUGGUGAAGAAAGCAUAUGAUAAUUGGAUGUAUGUUAUUGAAUAUGAUGGCAAAGCUCUCUUGAACCCUAAACCGAAGAAAAAGGCUGCAUUAACUAAUCAAGCUGAGGCUCGUGCUCCUGCUGCAUAUGUACAGUGCAUUUCUUCAACGAGUAUGCCAGGACCAUCUACAACAGGCACAAAUGGUUCUAUAGGGUAUGAUGGCAACCAGACAGCAACACAGUCUGUUCAGCUUCAGAGUUCAUCUGCUAAUGUGCCUGUGCCAUAUGACGACGCCUUUUCAUUUUUGCCGCCUACCAUGUUGAUGGGGUCUAAUCAGGGAACAGCAACUGAUGGCAUGGGUCUGGAACUCGGCCAGUUGCAUCACACAAUUUCUCAACGUCAACCAAUUCAGCCAGCAAACGUCGGCUACGAUAAUUGGCAUCACAACCGUGAUGGUCAGUAUGCUGAUGAUUUCACUGAAGACAUUCGCAUGAAAAGCCACCAACUGCUCGAGGGUGACGACAUGCAGCAGCUGCUCAGGAUCUUCAAUAUGGGCGGAGCUUCUACUGGUUUGCCAGACGAAACAUUUUCCUUCCCUGACAUUCCAUCUCCAUUCCCAAACCCAGACUCUGAAGGUGAGCCCAGCCGUCCAUCGGGCAAAGCCGUUGUCGGGUGGCUCAAGAUAAAGGCUGCUAUGAGAUGGGGAAUAUUUGUCAGGAAGAAAGCUGCCGAGAGAAGGGCGCAGAUUGUUGAGCUGGAGGAUUAA